ACGCUCGACACCUACUGGAGGCAGCAGUGGGGAAUAUUGCACAAUGGGGGAAACCCUGAUGCAGCAACGCCGCGUGAAGGAAGACGGUUUUCGGAUUGUAAACUUCUGUUCUUAGUGAAGAUAGUGACGGUAGCUAAGGAGCAAGCCACGGCUAACUACGUGCCAGCAGCCGCGGUAAUCUGAGGCGGGCUGGCAAGGC
This 199-nucleotide ribosomal RNA is filed under the name uncultured bacterium. RNAcentral describes it as "partial 16S ribosomal RNA". It matches the Rfam family "Bacterial small subunit ribosomal RNA", at positions 328 to 539 of the family's 1533-position model. The record is from RNAcentral.